RNAcentral lists this ribosomal RNA (425 nucleotides) under uncultured bacterium. RNAcentral's name for it is "bacterial SSU rRNA". It matches the Rfam family "Bacterial small subunit ribosomal RNA", at positions 355 to 776 of the family's 1533-position model. The record is from RNAcentral.
UAAGGAAUAUUGGUCAAUGGUGGGAACACUGAACCAGCCAUUCCGCGUGAAGGAUGAAUGCCCUCUGGGUUGUAAACUUCUUUAGUCUGGGACGAAAAAGCUUCAUUCAUGAAGAACUGACGGUACCAGAAGAAUAAGCACCGGCUAACUCCGUGCCAGCAGCCGCGGUAAUACGGAGGGUGCAAGCGUUAUCCGGAAUCACUGGGUUUAAAGGGUGCGUAGGCGGCGUUAUAAGUCAGGAGUGAAAUUCCACGGCUCAACUGUAGGAACUGCUUUUGAUACUGUAAUGCUUGAACCAAGAUGAGGUAGGCGGAAUGUGACAUGUAGCGGUGAAAUGCAUAGAUAUGUCAUAGAACACCAAUUGCGAAGGCAGCUUACUAGACUUGAGUUGACGCUGAGGCACGAAAGCGUGGGGAGCAAACAGG